Molecule: ribosomal RNA, 468 nt
Filed under: uncultured bacterium
Lineage: Bacteria
Description: partial 16S ribosomal RNA
Rfam family: Bacterial small subunit ribosomal RNA
Source: RNAcentral
GACGAACGCUGGCGGCGUGCUUAACACAUGCAAGUCGAACGGAAAGGCCCUGCUUUUGUGGGGUGCUCGAGUGGCGAACGGGUGAGUAACACGUGAGUAACCUGCCCUUGACUUUGGGAUAACUUCAGGAAACUGGGGCUAAUACCGGAUAGGAGCUCCUGCUGCAUGGUGGGGGUUGGAAAGUUUCGGCGGUAGUGGAUGGUCUCGCGGCUUAUGAGCUUGUUGGUGGGGUAGUGGCUUACCAGGGCUGCGACGGGUAGCCGGCCUGAGAGGUGGACCGGCCACAAUGGGACUGAGAGACGGCCCAGACGCCUACGGUAGGCAGCAGUGGGGAAUAUGGCACAAUGGGCGGAAGCCUGAUGCAGCAACGCCGCGUGCGGGAUGACGUCCUUCGGGGGGUAAACCGCUGUCGCCGGUGACGAGGCGUGAGUGACGGUAAUGGGUAAAGAAGCACCGGCUAACUACGUG